CCGCGGGAGGUGGACGAAGCGUGGGCCAGGACAGGCGCCUGGCACUGGGGUUUCAGAGCCGCGAGUAGGCCCUGAAGGCCGGGAGGGACCGCCAGUCCCCACUGGAAGCCGCUUCCGUGCAGCCCGGGACAGAGUUUCAGAAUUUGGCAAAAGUCUCAAGGCUCAAGCUGGUUGUCUGAAGCCUUUCAAACCCCCAGUUUUAUCACCACAUAUGAGAGGUCCCAGCACCAACCGCACCAGCCACAGGACUCCUCUUCUCGGUGGUACAACCAGCAGCUUCCAGGCCCAGCCACAUAUCCAGAGCUUGGGGAUCAGGUAUAGAGAGCCAAUCCCCUGGGAACCCAUGCAUUAGUCCCAGGGGGCCUCUCCUCCAAGCGCCUACAUUCUGGAAAAGCCUCAAGUUUCUACAGUCAUGAUACCUGGGAAACUCAGUGCUCCCUUUUGGAUUUUUCUUAGCCCUUCAACACCUAUGUAAAUCUGCAUGAAAUUUCCACUGUUUGAAUAGAGUGUCAUUCCCUGCUGAGCCCUAACUGAUACGCUGUGUUUCCAGUGUCCCUCAUCCACUAGACUCAGUGGUGUCAGGAAUGGUGUGGUAUUUUGUUAUAAAUUUAACUCCUUAGAUGGACACACAGAGAGCCUCGAUAAAUAUUUUUAAUCCAUCAAUGCAAGGAGUGUGGUUGUCAGAAGUCAGCUAAAAGUCCAAGUUUAAAUCUAAGCUCCGCCGUUCACAGCUUGGGUGACCUCAGCUUCUUUUUUGGAAAUGAAGUUCAUAUUUUCCGAGCACUUUUUCUGUGCCAGGUGCUUCCAAAUGUAUCUCGUUUAAUCCUCACAACAUACCUCAGAGGAAGACAUCAUUUUUACAAGUAAGGAAAUAGAGGCUCAGAGAGAUGAAGUGGUUGACCCGGGCUGUCUAUCUUGUAAAUGGUGGGCUGUGAUUCCCACACGACUGGAGUUUCUGGAGUCAGAGGCUGCCUGGAGUCAGGGGCUGCCUGACUCCAGAAACCAUUUUCUGUGCAUUUCAUGUAGCUCCACCUCAAUUGCCUUCCUUUCCUCAUCUGCAGACUGAUUAAAUAAAAUGUAUAAUUUGGAUGAAAUUUGAUAAAUAAUUCUGAAUGCAUUCUUUUUUAGAAUAAAUUAUCUGCAGUUCAGUACUUUAUUCUUACUAAUAAAUUCCAAGCAACACUCCUACUCACGGGCCUGGCCCUUCCCAUGCAUUUUCUUUUCUUGCUUUUUUUUUUUUUUUUUGAGAUGGAGUCUCGCUCUGUCACCCAUACUGAAGUGCAGUGGGGCCAUCUCGGCUCACUGCAAGCUCUGCCUCCCAGGUUCAAACAAUUCUCCUGCCUCAGCCUCCCGUGUAGCUGGGAUUACAGGGAUGUACUACCAUGUCCGGCUAAUUUUUGUAUUUUUAUUAGAGACAGGGUUUCACCAUGUUGGCCAGGCUGGUCUCGAACUCCUGACCUCAAGUGAUCUGUGCACCUCAGCCUCCCAAAGUGCUGGGAUUACAGGCAUGAGCCACCGCGCCCAGCCCCCAUACGUUUUCUCGCUGGCCAUGCUGUGCACCGUCUACUAAGUUGCCAUGGCUGCCUGGCCAUCUGACUUGUCACCCUCUCAUCCCUGACCUGACCCCAGUGUGUCUGCUUUUGCAGGGCCAAGGGGUCAGAUUCUUCUGCAGAGGACAGCCCUGUGAGGUCCAGGUUACGGACUCCUGCUCAAGCACAUGUAGGAUGCCAGCCUGAUGGUGUCUGGGUCCUUCAGUAGUAUUCAUGGCAGCCUGCUGAACUCUGCCUUCCAAGAUCCAGUUUAUAUUUUAGGGCCCCAAUGUAAAUGUUGCAAAGUCUUUCCCAUUUCCCCUGCCUCAGAACAGCAGCAUGGAAAGCCUAGAAUGGAAAAAGAGAAUGAGCCCAAACCCAGCAGCUCAGGCCAGGAGGCAUGCCUGUUCCACAUCACUCCACGUGGCUUUGUGUUUGUUGCCUCCACAUCUGUUCCAACCCAGCUAGGCUGGUGCAGAAGGAGCCCAGGGGGUCCUGCUUAUCACUGAAUUCCUUUACUGAUGCAUUGUUUUAAAGAGAAAAAAUCCCCAUGAAAGGUCCACCACAGGAACUGGGGACCUCUCAAUGAUCCCAAUAGGUAAGGAAGACUCAUUUGCAGUGAGCUCCAGGGGACCUUUCUACAACUCACAGUGACCAGUGGGAAUAGGACACACAAGGUGAUGCCAAGCCUGGCACAACAGCUGAGUACCUUGACUCGUCCCAAAUCCCAGAGUAAAUGUAGGGCACCUGAGGCAGCUGCCAAGGGACAGAUGUCCUUCAGAGCAGUUCUGGACAAGGCCCUCAUUUAUUUCUCUCUGUCACCUGCCCCUCUCUCUCUUUAAAAACCUAGGCAUUUUGUCUUCUUUUCCUCAUUUUUGUCCUACACAGGAACAUGAGAGCCACCUGGUGGAAGGUUUUAUUAGCAUGGAGGACGAGGGAGAGUUUGGCAGCUUGGCAGAGCUGCAGGUUGUGGAGAAGCAGCUGAGACAACAGCCCUGAGAGAGGAGAUCUGUGCUUCCCUGGAGCACAGGGCAGGUUGACACAUCAGCUGCGGAACAGUAUCUGGACCAGAAGCCUUUGCUCACUGUGAGAGACAGGCCGGGUCACUUACUUGCUCACCGCACAUGGGGGCUGAGUGGUGGCUGUUACAGAUCCAUGGAGGCCAGUGGUUGAGGCUCUGAAGGGGACAUGGCUGUCGCUGUGGGAG
Molecule: long non-coding RNA, 2736 nt
Filed under: Homo sapiens (human)
Lineage: Eukaryota; Metazoa; Chordata; Mammalia; Primates; Hominidae
Description: HSALNT0225880
Source: RNAcentral